RNAcentral lists this ribosomal RNA (497 nucleotides) under uncultured bacterium. RNAcentral describes it as "partial 16S ribosomal RNA". It matches the Rfam family "Bacterial small subunit ribosomal RNA", at positions 28 to 507 of the family's 1533-position model. The record is from RNAcentral.
GAUGAACGCUGGCGGCGUGCCUAAUACAUGCAAGUCGAGCGAACGGACGAGAAGCUUGCUUCUCUGAUGUUAGCGGCGGACGGGUGAGUAACACGUGGAUAACCUACCUAUAAGACUGGGAUAACUUCGGGAAACCGGAGCUAAUACCGGAUGAUAUUUUGAACCGCAUGGUUCAAAAGUGAAAGACGGUCUUGCUGUCACUUAUAGAUGGAUCCGCGCUGCAUUAGCUAGUUGGUAAGGUAACGGCUUACCAAGGCAACGAUGCAUAGCCGACCUGAGAGGGUGAUCGGCCACACUGGAACUGAGACACGGUCCAGACUCCUACGGGAGGCAGCAGUAGGGAAUCUUCCGCAAUGGGCGAAAGCCUGACGGAGCAACGCCGCGUGAGUGAUGAAGGUCUUCGGAUCGUAAAACUCUGUUAUGAGGGAAGAACAGAUGUGUAAGUAACUGUGCACAUCUUGACGGUACCUAAUCAGAAAGCCACGGCUAACUACGUG